CCUGCCAGGGCAUCAGUGUCUUCUGCUGCAAUUACAUGUGGGCAUGACUUUCUCUGGCAUGAGACCACAGUUCCUUAGAGGGAAGUGGCUGUUUUCUUCAUGGAGCCCGGAAUAGUGCCUGCCACACGCCACUCCUUCCAGAUAGAGAAAUCCUGGUUCUCUCAUCCUGAUCUUAACCCGUGCAAAAGAGUAACAGACAAGUUCAAGGAGAGGGCAUGUGCUUGAACAUGAGAGAGAGGAAGAGAAGAAGAGACAAAGCACCCCUCCCUAGCCCUCCGCUCUCCGCCCGAUGGAGCCUGGCCAUACCACAAUCCCUUUUCCCCCAUUUCUCUAUCCCAAUCAGGAUCCUGGGCACACACAUCCAACGUAUUACUUCCAUGGCUGAGAUUCGAACCUUGUCAGCCAUGUGGGAUCCUGCUUCCUCUGCACAGCGCUUAACCACGGUGCUACGGGCCAGCCCUACGUAUUUUUUGUAACUCUGAGAUGAUGCUGUGGAGCUUUCAUUGGUGUCCUUG
Molecule: long non-coding RNA, 515 nt
Organism: Tupaia belangeri chinensis (Chinese tree shrew)
Lineage: Eukaryota; Metazoa; Chordata; Mammalia; Scandentia; Tupaiidae
Exons: 3
Source: RefSeq, a predicted model, not a curated record